GGGGUCCAUCCGAUCCGGCUCCGUCGGGCGUCCUGUAAUCCUCCCAGCAAUGGGAGGGUCAGGCGUUUGCCGUACAGCCGUUGUAGAUUUGCAGGCGAAAGGGAAUCUGGUACUAUCCAGAA
This 122-nucleotide ribosomal RNA is filed under the name uncultured organism. RNAcentral's name for it is "partial 28S large subunit ribosomal RNA". The record is from RNAcentral.